Molecule: ribosomal RNA, 468 nt
Filed under: uncultured bacterium
Lineage: Bacteria
Description: partial 16S ribosomal RNA
Rfam family: Bacterial small subunit ribosomal RNA
Source: RNAcentral
GACGAACGCUGGCGGCGUGCUUAACACAUGCAAGUCGAACGGAAAGGCCCUGCUUUUGUGGGGUGCUCGAGUGGCGAACGGGUGAGUAACACGUGAGUAACCUGCCCUUGACUUUGGGAUAACUUCAGGAAACUGGGUCUAAUACCGGAUAGGAGCUCCUGCUGCAUGGUGGGGGUUGGAAAGUUUCGGCGGUUGGGGAUGGACUCGCGUCUUAUCAGCUUGUUGGUGGGGUAGUGGCUUACCAAGGCUUUGACGGGUAGCCGUCCUGAGAGGGUGACCGGCCACAUUGGGACUGAGAUACGGCCCAGACUCCUACGGGAGGCAGCAGUGGGGAAUAUUGCACAAUGGGCGGAAGGCUGAUGCAGCAACGCAGCGUGCGGGAUGACGGCCUUCGGGUUGUAAACCGAUUUCGCCUGUGACGAAGCGUGAGUGACGGUAAUGGGUAAAGAAGCACCGGCUAACUACGUG